This 282-nucleotide ribosomal RNA is filed under the name uncultured bacterium. RNAcentral's name for it is "partial 16S ribosomal RNA". It matches the Rfam family "Bacterial small subunit ribosomal RNA", at positions 780 to 1058 of the family's 1533-position model. The record is from RNAcentral.
AGAUACCCGGGUAGUCCACACCGUAAACGAUGAAUGCCAGACGUCAGCAAGCAUGCUUGUUGGUGUCACACCUAACGGAUUAAGCAUUCCGCCUGGGGAGUACGGUCGCAAGAUUAAAACUCAAAGGAAUUGACGGGGGCCCGCACAAGCGGUGGAGCAUGUGGUUUAAUUCGACGCAACGCGCAGAACCUUACCAACCCUUGACAUACUUGUCGCGGAUUCCAGAGAUGGAUUCCUUCAGUUCGGCUGGACAAUGUACAGGUGCUGCAUGGCCGCCGUCAG